CGAAACCACGUUUCGAUAAAUCAUUCAAGUUCUGACCUAUCAUGCUCUCGAUGGUAGUGUAUUGGACUACCAUGGCAGUCACGGGUAACGGAGAAUAGGGUUCGAUUCCGGAGAAGGAGCCUGAGAAACGGCUACUACAUCUACGGAAGGCAGCAGGCGCGUAAAUUACCCAAUCCUAAAUCGGGGAGGUAGUGACAAGAUAUAACAACGCGACUAAAAAUCGCGAUUGUAGUGAGGGUAUUCUAAACAUAGCUUCGAGUACGAUUGGAGGGCAAGUCUGGUGCCAGCAGCCGCGGUAAUUCCAGCUCCAAUAGCGUAUAUUAAAGUUGUUGCAGUUAAAAAGCUCGUAGUUGGACUUCAAGAAGCGCAUCUGGGCAACCAGUUUGCCUUCUACCAGCCCUAG
This 403-nucleotide ribosomal RNA is filed under the name uncultured eukaryote. RNAcentral describes it as "SSU rRNA". It matches the Rfam family "Eukaryotic small subunit ribosomal RNA", at positions 270 to 686 of the family's 1831-position model. The record is from RNAcentral.